CAGAAUGUAAUGAACAAUAACUAUUAUCAUUGUUAUAUUUUUAUUUCAGUGGCAGAAAAACUCAAGAAAAGAAAUAAUUCUCUGCCUGUCCUUUUCGCCUAUGUCAUCUCCUUUAUUCAUACUCCCUGAGAACAACAGGAAAGGAACAAAACAGAACAGAAGAAGGGAUCCAAAGAGAGACAUUUGAAGAGAUGAAGCUACCAAAACAUUGAAAAGUUGUUUAUGUCAAACGUUGGGUGGCAGUGCAGGAGAGAGGCAGUGGGGUACAGGUCUGUGAAUUGAAGAAAUGGGAAGUUUUAAAACAUCCUAUUCUACCAGUGGAUGCGAGAACCCCCUGCUCUGUGUUACACUUGGUAAAUAACACCACAGGUUGCUUUCAGUGACCAUGAGAGUUUUUUGGAUUCCAACUUGCAGAACGUUCCUCGAGGAGCCUGCGAUGCCCAAGCAGGUCCCAGAAGCUACCAUUCCCCGUCGGGUUCUGUGACUUCUUCCAGUCUCUUUGCUCCUUCCUGCCACAUUCUGACUGGUUUCGAUGGAGCAGAAUCGGGCAUCUCUCUGUGGAACACGCCAAGAGGUUUGGGAGGACGUCUUGCGUACCCCUUUUUUAACCUGGUAAGUGGGACUCUCUGAAGCCACUCCAAUCCAGGAUUGGAAAGCCAGCUUCAUAACUUA
This is a long non-coding RNA of Neogale vison (American mink), 672 nucleotides long. RefSeq lists it as uncharacterized. The transcript is spliced from 4 exons. Lineage: Eukaryota; Metazoa; Chordata; Mammalia; Carnivora; Mustelidae. The record is from RefSeq and is a predicted model, not a curated record.